UUGCUCACUUCAGCAGCACAUACACUGAAAUUGGAACAAUGCAGAGAAGAUUGGCAUGGCCCCUGAGCAAGGAUAACACACAAAAUCAUGAAGCGAUCAUAUUUUUA
Small nuclear RNA from Dipodomys ordii (Ord's kangaroo rat), 107 nucleotides. The record is from Ensembl. Lineage: Eukaryota; Metazoa; Chordata; Mammalia; Rodentia; Heteromyidae.